CCCGUAUAAUGCCGGGAAUGGGCCCGGCAGUCUCUACCGGGCGACCGGAAAUCGCCCGACUACGGG
RNAcentral lists this non-coding RNA (66 nucleotides) under Kyrpidia spormannii. RNAcentral describes it as "Purine". It matches the Rfam family "Purine riboswitch aptamer", at positions 20 to 86 of the family's 102-position model. From Rfam's summary of the family: Riboswitches are metabolite binding domains within certain messenger RNAs that serve as precision sensors for their corresponding targets. Lineage: Bacteria; Bacillati; Bacillota; Bacilli; Caryophanales; Alicyclobacillaceae. The record is from RNAcentral.